RNAcentral lists this ribosomal RNA (150 nucleotides) under Mucor lusitanicus. RNAcentral describes it as "5.8S ribosomal RNA". It matches the Rfam family "5.8S ribosomal RNA". Rfam says of the family: 5.8S ribosomal RNA (5.8S rRNA) is a component of the large subunit of the eukaryotic ribosome. It is transcribed by RNA polymerase I as part of the 45S precursor that also contains 18S and 28S rRNA. Lineage: Eukaryota; Fungi; Mucoromycota; Mucoromycetes; Mucorales; Mucoraceae. The record is from RNAcentral.
AACUUUUAACAACGGAUCUCUUGGUUCUCGCAUCGAUGAAGAACGUAGCAAAGUGCGAUAACUAGUGUGAAUUGCAUAUUCAGUGAAUCAUYGAGUCUUUGAACGCAACUUGCGCUCAUUGGUAUUCCAAUGAGCACGCCUGUUUCAGUA